Molecule: long non-coding RNA, 1314 nt
Organism: Pygocentrus nattereri (red-bellied piranha)
Lineage: Eukaryota; Metazoa; Chordata; Actinopteri; Characiformes; Serrasalmidae
Exons: 3
Source: RefSeq, a predicted model, not a curated record
CUUUCUAAAACAGUCACCUUCUGCCGUUGGUGACCGCAAGCCCUGGGAAGGGCACAGCUGUCUGCUUAGCCACACCUGAAACUUACAGGUAUUAUCAAAAUAACACUGACGCAAUCUAUCCAGAACAGGAAGGACUGAGAGUCAGCUGGCUCAGAAUAAGACUGUGAAGGGGUCUUCUGAGUGCCCUGUUGCACCUUUGCAGGCACUUCUCUGCUUCUUGAUUGCUUCGACAUCCAAUUUCGAAGAGUCCAACAGAUCCAAACGGAUUUAGGAUGAACUUCCUAAAGGAUUCUUUGCUCAGAUUUGGAAGAAUGACACAGUCGUCUCCUCUCCACGCUACGGUACCUGUUACCUUCAUCCUGAUGGGAGCUGAAAAGAUGAUGGGGCUCGAGUUUUCUUGCCCGUGUCAGCCUCAAUUGAAUUUAAGCCUGGUCUCCUUUAUGUUCAGUGUCCCUGCUCUACUUGUGUUCACCAUAAUGCUGAUUCUGGCGAGGCCUUGUAAAUACACAUGCGGAUGCUGUUCAUGCAGAAAGUUCGCAGAGUCUUUCUUUGCUUGCCUGAUUCCACCAACCGUGUGGUUCAUUUUGCUGUUUCUGGAUGGCCGGUAUUUGGCCUGUGGGAUGACAAACUGGAAUGGAAUGUACGUGUCGGAUAUGGGUGAUCCUCCGGUGAGGUGGUGCGAACCUGUUGGAUCAAGUAAAAUAAAAGGAAGAAGAUUGCACCAAGAUUUUAUAACAUAUUCAAAGAUUGUGGGUUAUUUUCUGCUGUUUGGCAUCUGCCUUGUAAUCGUGUGUGCUGUGUGUUGCUGGGACUGCUGUCAUCCAAAAGAGCAGGAUGUGGAAAAAGUAUCAGAUGGUGAAACACGUCAACAGUGAAGUGGAAUUGACAGUUCUGUGAUGGAUCCUGAUGGUUUCUCCUGCACUACGGCCCUGCUUGACCACCAUACAGCCAAUUGUUUGUGCCAUUCAACCUGGAAAAGUCCUGAUCUGGACGUUCCAGAGGCUUCAACGAACAGUCAGCUGUCACAUUCCUCUCACACUUCUGCCAUGAGCUCCAUCCCUGCAACCCCCAAAUCAACUCUGGAGGUUUUACACUGGACUUCAUCCCCACUGUGGCAUCACAUUUCACAUCCAGAAGAGUGCAGUGCAACUUUAUUUGAGCUAUAUAACCUCACAGAGUUGAGUUUAUACUCAUUACGUGAAUUAUAAACUCCAUGUUACAUAAGCUAUAUUUUGUAUCAUUCAUCUACACACAGUUGUUCUGAUUUUGGGCCAGUGGCUUUAGAUAUAAAUAAAGCACAUUUCAUUGCCACUA